Molecule: ribosomal RNA, 919 nt
Filed under: Oligella urethralis
Lineage: Bacteria; Pseudomonadati; Pseudomonadota; Betaproteobacteria; Burkholderiales; Alcaligenaceae
Description: bacterial SSU rRNA
Rfam family: Bacterial small subunit ribosomal RNA
Source: RNAcentral
AGAGUUUGAUCCUGGCUCAGAUUGAACGCUAGCGGGAUGCUUUACACAUGCAAGUCGAACGGCAGCAUGAGAGAGCUUGCUCUCUUGAUGGCGAGUGGCGGACGGGUGAGUAAUGUAUCGGAACGUGCCCGGUAGUGGGGGAUAACUACGCGAAAGCGUAGCUAAUACCGCAUAUUCUCUACGGAGGAAAGAGGGGGAUCGUAAGACCUCUUGCUACCGGAGCGGCCGAUAUCAGAUUAGCUGGUUGGUGGGGUAACGGCCUACCAAGGCGGUGAUCUGUAGCUGGUUUGAGAGGACGACCAGCCACACUGGGACUGAGACACGGCCCAGACUCCUACGGGAGGCAGCAGUGGGGAAUUUUCGACAAUGGGGGGAACCCUGAUCGAGCCAUCUCGCGUGUGGGACGAAGGCCUUCGGGUUGUAAACCACUUUUCUCAACGAAGAAAAGUCUUAGGCUAAUACCUUAAGAUGCUGACGGUAGUUGAGGAAUAAGCACCGGCUAACUACGUGCCAGCAGCCGCGGUAAUACGUAGGGUGCGAGCGUUAAUCGGAAUUACUGGGCGUAAAGGGUGCGCAGGCGGCUUGGAAAGAACGGUGUGAAAUCCCGGGGCUCAACCUCGGAACUGCACUAUUAACUGCCAAGCUAGAGUAUGUCAGAGGGGGGGUGGAAUUCCGCGUGUAGCAGUGAAAUGCGUAGAUAUGCGGAGGAACACCGAUGGCGAAGGCAGCCCCCUGGGAUGGUACUGACGCUCAGGCACGAAAGCGUGGGUAGCGAACAGGAUUAGAUACCCUGGUAGUCCACGCCCUAAACGAUGUCAACUAGCUGUUGGGCCGGUUACGGCUUAGUAGCGCAGCUAACGCGUGAAGUUGACCGCCUGGGGACUACGGUCGCAAGACUAAAACUCAAAUGAUUGACGGA